AUACGGAGGGUGCAAGCGUUAUCCGGAAUCAUUGGGUUUAAAGGGUCCGUAGGCGGACUAUUAAGUCAGAGGUGAAAUCCCACAGCUCGACUGUGGAACUGCCUUUGAUACUGGUAGUCUUGAGUUAUAUGGAAGUAGAUAGAAUGUGUAGUGUAGCGGUGAAAUGCAUAGAUAUUACACAGAAUACCGAUUGCGAAGGCGGUCUACUACGUAUAUACUGACGCUAAGGGACGAAAGCGUGGGGAGCGAACAGGAUUAGAAACCCGAGUAGUCC
This 274-nucleotide ribosomal RNA is filed under the name uncultured bacterium. RNAcentral describes it as "partial 16S ribosomal RNA". It matches the Rfam family "Bacterial small subunit ribosomal RNA", at positions 523 to 796 of the family's 1533-position model. The record is from RNAcentral.